GAUGAACGCUGGCGGCGUGCCUAAUACAUGCCAGUCGAGCGAACAGAUGAGGAGCUUGCUCCUCUGACGUUAGCGGCGGACGGGUGAGUAACACGUGGAUAACCUACCUAUAAGACUGGGAUAACUUCGGGAAACCGGAGCUAAUACCGGAUAAUAUAUUGAACCGCAUGGUUCAAUAGUGAAAGACGGUUUUGCUGUCACUUAUAGAUGGAUCCGCGCCGCAUUAGCUAGUUGGUAAGGUAACGGCUUACCAAGGCAACGAUGCGUAGCCGACCUGAGAGGGUGAUCGGCCACACUGGAACUGAGACACGGUCCAGACUCCUACGGGAGGCAGCAGUAGGGAAUCUUCCGCAAUGGGCGAAAGCCUGACGGAGCAACGCCGCGUGAGUGAUGAAGGUCUUCGGAUCGUAAAACUCUGUUAUUAGGGAAGAACAAAUGUGUGAGUAACUAUGCACGUCUUGACGGUACCUAAUCAGAAAGCCACGGCUAACUACGUG
This 497-nucleotide ribosomal RNA is filed under the name uncultured bacterium. RNAcentral's name for it is "partial 16S ribosomal RNA". It matches the Rfam family "Bacterial small subunit ribosomal RNA", at positions 28 to 507 of the family's 1533-position model. The record is from RNAcentral.